This 253-nucleotide ribosomal RNA is filed under the name uncultured bacterium. Its description in RNAcentral is "partial 16S ribosomal RNA". It matches the Rfam family "Bacterial small subunit ribosomal RNA", at positions 524 to 776 of the family's 1533-position model. The record is from RNAcentral.
UACGGGGGGGGCAAGCGUUGUUCGGAAUUACUGGGCGUAAAGGGCUCGUAGGCGGCCAACUAAGUCGGAUGUGAAAUCCCUCAGCUUAACUGGGGAACUGCGUCUGAUACUGGAUGGCUUGGAUUCGGGAGAGGAAUGCGGAAUUCCAGGUGUAGCGGUGAAAUGCGUAGAUAUCUGGAGGAACACCGGUGGCGAAGGCGGCAUCCUGGACCGAGAUUGACGCUGAUGAGCGAAAGCUAGGGGAGCAAACGGG